This 1526-nucleotide ribosomal RNA is filed under the name Vibrio parahaemolyticus. RNAcentral's name for it is "partial 23S ribosomal RNA". It matches the Rfam family "Bacterial large subunit ribosomal RNA", at positions 1 to 1583 of the family's 2925-position model. The record is from RNAcentral. Lineage: Bacteria; Pseudomonadati; Pseudomonadota; Gammaproteobacteria; Vibrionales; Vibrionaceae.
GGUUAAGUGACUAAGCGUACACGGUGGAUGCCUUGGCAGUCAGAGGCGAUGAAAGACGUAGUAACUUGCGAUAAGCCCAGAUUAGGUAGUAACAACCAUUUGAGUCUGGGAUUUCUGAAUGGGGAAACCCACGUGCAUAAGCACGUAUCCUUACCUGAAUACAUAGGGUAAGGAGGCGAACCGGGGGAACUGAAACAUCUAAGUACCCCGAGGAAAAGAAAUCAACCGAGAUUCCGAAAGUAGCGGCGAGCGAAAUUGGACUAGCCCUUAAGCUUUACACGCGUUAGACGAACGGUCUGGAAAGUCCGACGAUACAGGGUGAUAGUCCCGUAGUUGACGACGUGUGUUCAGUGAAAUCGAGUAGGGCGGGACACGUGAUAUCCUGUCUGAAUAUGGGGGGACCAUCCUCCAAGGCUAAAUACUACUGACUGACCGAUAGUGAACCAGUACCGUGAGGGAAAGGCGAAAAGAACCCCUGUGAGGGGAGUGAAAUAGAACCUGAAACCGUGUACGUACAAGCAGUAGGAGCAGGCUUUGUCCUGUGACUGCGUACCUUUUGUAUAAUGGGUCAGCGACUUAUAUUCAGUGGCAAGGUUAACCAUCUAGGGGAGCCGUAGGGAAACCGAGUCUUAACUGGGCGUUCAGUCUCUGGAUAUAGACCCGAAACCAGGUGAUCUAGCCAUGGGCAGGUUGAAGGUUGAGUAACAUCAACUGGAGGACCGAACCGACUAAUGUUGAAAAAUUAGCGGAUGACUUGUGGCUAGGGGUGAAAGGCCAAUCAAACCUGGAGAUAGCUGGUUCUCCCCGAAAGCUAUUUAGGUAGCGCCUCGGACGAAUACUACUGGGGGUAGAGCACUGUUAAGGCUAGGGGGUCAUCCCGACUUACCAACCCUUUGCAAACUCCGAAUACCAGUAAGUACUAUCCGGGAGACACACGGCGGGUGCUAACGUCCGUCGUGGAGAGGGAAACAACCCAGACCGCCAGCUAAGGUCCCAAAUUACUACUAAGUGGGAAACGAUGUGGGAAGGCUCAGACAGCCAGGAUGUUGGCUUAGAAGCAGCCAUCAUUUAAAGAAAGCGUAAUAGCUCACUGGUCGAGUCGGCCUGCGCGGAAGAUGUAACGGGGCUAAGUAGUAAACCGAAGCUGCGGCAAUGUGCUUUUGCACAUUGGGUAGGGGAGCGUUCUGUAAGCGGUUGAAGGUGUGUGGUAACGCAUGCUGGACGUAUCAGAAGUGCGAAUGCUGACAUGAGUAACGAUAAAGGGGGUGAAAAACCUCCUCGCCGGAAGACCAAGGGUUCCUGUCCAACGUUAAUCGGGGCAGGGUAAGUCGACCCCUAAGGCGAGGCCGAAAGGCGUAGUCGAUGGGAAACGGGUUAAUAUUCCCGUACUUCUUACAAUUGCGAUGGGGGGACGGAGAAGGCUAGGUGGGCCUGGCGACGGUUGUCCAGGUUCAAGUGCGUAGGCUUAAGAGUUAGGUAAAUCCGGCUCUUUUUAAGGCUGAGACACGACGUCGAGCUACUACGGU